Molecule: ribosomal RNA, 882 nt
Filed under: Elaeophora schneideri
Lineage: Eukaryota; Metazoa; Nematoda; Chromadorea; Rhabditida; Onchocercidae
Description: SSU rRNA
Rfam family: Eukaryotic small subunit ribosomal RNA
Source: RNAcentral
AACAGCUAUAAUGUACUUGAUGUUGAUUAUCCAACGUGGAUAACUGUGGCAAUUCUAGAGCUAAUACAUGCACCAAAGCUCCGACUUUUGGACGAGCGCAUCUAUUAGAUUAAAACCAAUCGGGUUAUUUUAGCCCGUUAAUUGGUGACUCUGAAUAGCUAUGGCUGAUCGCAUGGUCUUGUACCGGCGACAUAUCUAUCAAGUGUCUGCCUUAUCAACUUUCGAUGGUAGUUUAUGUGCCUACCAUGGUUGUAACGGGUAACGGAGAAUAAGGGUUCGACUCCGGAGAGGGAGCCUGAGAAACGGCUACCACAUCCAAGGAAGGCAGCAGGCGCGCAAAUUACCCACUCUCAGAAUGAGGAGGUAGUGACGAAAAAUAACGAGACCGUUCUCUUUGAGGCCGGUUAUCGGAAUGGGUACAAUUUAAACCUGUUAACGAGGAUCAGUAACGGCCAGUCUGGUGCCAGCAGCCGCGGUAAUUCCAGCUCUCAAAGUGUAUAUCGUCAUUGCUGCGGUUAAAAAGCUCGUAGUUGGAUCUGCGUCUCAGGACCUGGUCCAUCCAUUGGAUGAGAACUGGGCUCCUAGGCUAAUAUUGCCAGUUUUCCCUAUGUUACCUUGAUCGGUUGCGUAUGGUGGCUAGCAAGUUUACCUUGAAAAAAUUAGAGUGCUCAAUGCAGGCUAAUGCCUGAAUACUCGUGCAUGGAAUAAUGAAAUAGGAUCUCGGUUCUAUUUUGUUGGUUUUCUGAUCUGAGAUAAUGGUUAAGAGGGACGGACGGGGGCAUUCGUAUCGCUGCGUGAGAGGUGAAAUUCUUGGACCGUAGCGAGACGUACGACUGCGAAAGCAUUUGCCAAGAAUGUCUUCAUUAAUCAAGAACGAAAGUC